CCUACGGGAGGCAGCAGUGAGGAAUAUUGGUCAAUGGGCGGGAGCCUGAACCAGCCAAGUCGCGUGAGGGAAGACGGUCCUAUGGAUUGUAAACCUCUUUAGGCGGGGAGCAAUGACGGGCACGCGUGCACGGAGGGAGAGUACCCGCAGAAUAAGCAUCGGCUAACUCCGUGCCAGCAGCCGAGGUAAUACCGGGGAUGCGAGCGUUAUCCGGAUUUAUGGGGGUUAAUGGGGGCGUAGGGGGUCCGGAAAGUCCGCGGUAAAAGCCCGGGGCUCAACCCCGGCGAGCCGUGGAAACUGUCGGACUAGAGACGGCGAGAAGUACGCGGAAUGCGAGGUGUAGCGGUGAAAUGCAUAGAUAUCGGGCAGAACUCCGAUGGCGAAGGCAGCGUACCGGCGCCGGACUGACGCUGAGGCACGAAAGCGUGGGUAUCGAACAGGAUUAGAUACCAGGGUAGUC
RNAcentral lists this ribosomal RNA (460 nucleotides) under uncultured bacterium. RNAcentral describes it as "partial 16S ribosomal RNA". It matches the Rfam family "Bacterial small subunit ribosomal RNA", at positions 338 to 795 of the family's 1533-position model. The record is from RNAcentral.